UACGACCCCAGCAGUCGCACAUAGGCGU
RNAcentral lists this small RNA (28 nucleotides) under Bombyx mori (domestic silkworm). RNAcentral's name for it is "ovarian small RNA-20972". Lineage: Eukaryota; Metazoa; Arthropoda; Insecta; Lepidoptera; Bombycidae. The record is from RNAcentral.